CCUUGUACACACCGCCCGUCAAGUCAUGGGAGCCGGAAAUAGCCGAAGUCGCUGUGAUACAGCAGUGCCUACGCUAGGUUCGGUGACUGGGACU
RNAcentral lists this ribosomal RNA (94 nucleotides) under uncultured bacterium. Its description in RNAcentral is "partial 16S ribosomal RNA". The record is from RNAcentral.